RNAcentral lists this ribosomal RNA (449 nucleotides) under uncultured bacterium. Its description in RNAcentral is "bacterial SSU rRNA". It matches the Rfam family "Bacterial small subunit ribosomal RNA", at positions 331 to 794 of the family's 1533-position model. The record is from RNAcentral.
CCAGACUCCUACGGGAGGCAGCAGUGGGGAAUAUUGGGCAAUGGAGGCAACUCUUACCCAGCAAUGCCGCGUGAAUGAAGAAGGUCUUCGGAUUGUAAAGUUCUUUAAUUGGGGACGAAAAAAAUGACGGUACCUGACUAAGAAGCCCCGGCUAACUACGUGCCAGCAGCCGCGGUAAUACGUAGGGGGCAAGCGUUAUCCGGAUUUACUGGGUGUAAAGGGAGCGUAGACGGCUGCGCAGGUCUGAAGUGAAAGCCCGGGGCUCAACCCCGGGACUGCUUUGGAAACUGUGUAGCUAGAGUGCUGGAGAGGCAAGCGGAAUUCCUAGUGUAGCGGUGAAAUGCGUAGAUAUUAGGAAGAACACCAGUGGCGAAGGCGGCUUGCUGGACAGUAACUGACGUUGAGGCUCGAAAGCGUGGGGAGCAAACAGGAUUAGAUACCCCAGUACC